ACUCUCCCUAUGACACGGCAACUGGGCCUUGCUGGCCCCCUUCCUGUCCCCUGCCCCCCAUCAGUCUGGGGGCUCCAGCUGCCCAUCUGCUGGUCCCCUGCAGUGGCGGGCAGGGUCUCAGAGGCAGUCUGGGGUAUCACGUGGGAGCCCUUCCUUGCCAGCGGCCUCCCCUCCUGACGGGCUCUGUGGGCAGCAAGCCACCUACCUCUCCAGCACCUGCUCAGGUGCCACCGUCUGCCAGGCCGUGUGACCCCACUGUGGCUGGGACAGCUCUCUCCGCUGCACCCCCAGGGCUGCAGCCUGUCCUCUGAGGCCCUGGGCCACGCAGCUGGGCUGGGUUCCGAGGGGCUGGGAAGCCACUGUGUCUGUGUCACUGCCAUCAUCUGAGCAACCAUGCCACCCCAGGCUCGGCUCCCAGAGACCCUGGGUUUUGGGCUUCACAAGUGGGUCUGGAGGGGGCUCACCCAACAGGUGUGCCCUUCAGGUCCGCCUUCUCUCUGGGGGCCUUCAUCCUGUCUCAUCCUCAUUAUCCUCUUCUGCUUACACUUCCACAGUUGGGGAGUUGGAUCUAUUGCAAAGAGUUAAAUGAAACUGAUGAAAAAUGCAAGAGCAUAAAGUUCUAACAAACGUGAGACAGGUGGCACCAGACUGUCUGCUUGGAAAGAAAACUUGAAGUAGCGCCGCAACGCAAGCAGCUGCUUCCUGAAUCCAGAAGCUUCAAGUAAUCAAGUAUCUCAUGCUCCUUAUUUACAGCACCUCUUCCUCCUUCUCUUUUUGAUCUUUUUUCUCUUUUCAUUCUGUCAUUUCCCUGGAUAGUCUCAGCCACUCCCAUGACUUUAAUAUUUAUUUGCCUUUUUCAAAUCUUCAUCCAAUCUCUAUAUUAUUUUUUAUUCAAUAUCCCAUAGUUAUCUUAAAAUGUUGUACAUCCCAAAUAGACUUAAUUAUCUCCCACCCCCAAAUCCUGCUAGACUUAGCUCUCAUCCUCUCUCACACGAUCUCAGUCUCUCUUUUAUCCUGUGAUGGAGGACUUGAGUCAGUUCAUAAAAAUUUGUGGCAAUAUCAAAGAGCAAAAUGAACACUCGAAUGUGGUCUGGCCAGAGGAGAAAUAUGAAAAGCCAGCACAUAAGAUGAGCCCAGAAACAGAUGUUAAAUAGUCCUUUAAAAUGGUAAGUGGGUCUCAGAUUUAACUCUAAGCUUCCUAGUGCCCAAAGGGAAUCUGGAACCACAUUCAGCUAGGUGACUAUUAGGUGCACCAGAUUGCAACUAACUCAAUUUCCAACAGUUUCCUGUUGCAACCUGGGUGAAGUUUUCCCUGACCAAAGGGAGCCUUCUAUACUGUGGCCCCUGCUGUCCUUGACCCUCAUUCAUUGAAACAUUCAGUUUUCUAGACCCUUUUUCAAUCAGAGUGAUGGUCUGACACUGGAUGAUGUUUUACAGGUAGAUGGAGCUUAAUGAGAUACAGGCAGAAGGGCCUGUCGAAGGCUUCUCUUUCCAAAUAACAAGAUGAUGUUUUUAAGGAGAAGGCACCCCUACAUCCCCUCUGCUUGGGGCCAUGUUGUGCCUCAGGGUUACAACGACAGAGCAGGAAGAUAGAAGGAUCCUAGGUCUGCAAGGCAAGUAGAAAUUUUGUGAUUGUCCCUGAUUGUUGACUUUAAACCUCUUUAUUAUGUGUGAGAAUCACCUUGUUUAAGUCACAUUUCCCCCCCAGGUUUUUCUUUAUUUUUUUUUAAGAUUUAUUUAUUUAUUUAUGAGAGAUACAGAGAGAAAAGCAGAGACACAGGCAGAGGGAGAAGCAGGCUCCAUGCUGGGAGCCCAACAUGGGACUUGAUCCUGGGUCUCCAGGAUCAGGCCCUGGGCUUAAGGCAGUGCUAAGCCACUGAGCCACCGGGGCUGCCCCAGGUUUUCCUUAAAAUCAAGUUAAUUAAUGUAUAGUGUAGUAUUGGUUUCGAGAGUAGAGUUUAGUGAUUCAUCACUUACAUAUGACACCCGGUGCUCAUCACAACAAGUGCCCUCCUUAAUGCCCAUCACCCAUCAAGCCUAUCCCCCUGCCUACUUCCCCUCCUGCUACCCUCGAUUUUUUUCUCUCUAGUUAAGAGUCUCUUAUGGUUUGCCUCUCACUGUUUUUAUUUUAUUUUAUAUUUCCUUCCUUUCCUGUACUUUCAUCUGUUCUGUUUCUUAAAUUCCACAUACGAGUGAAAUCAUACGGUAUUUUCUUUCUCUGACUUUUCCCCUUAGUGUAAUACACUUUAGCUCCAUCCUCGUUGUUGGAAAUGGCAAGAGUUCAUUAUUUUUGAUGGCUGAGUAAUAGUCAUUGUAUAUAUAGACCACAUCUUCUUUAGCCAUUUAUCAGUGAAUGGACACUUGGGCUCUUUCCAUGGUUUUAAGCCACAUUUUUAAGGGUUUCUGAGCAUAACCCUAAAUGAUAAAAUACCCCAUGAUAAAUACUGUAUUCAUU
RNAcentral lists this long non-coding RNA (2455 nucleotides) under Canis lupus familiaris (dog). RNAcentral's name for it is "lncRNA (ENSCAFG00040000499.1)". Lineage: Eukaryota; Metazoa; Chordata; Mammalia; Carnivora; Canidae. The record is from RNAcentral.